GGAGGGGUGGCAGAGCGGUUGAAUGCACCGGUCUUGAAAACCGGCGGGCGCAAGCCCUCGUGGGUUCGAAUCCCACCCCCUCCG
RNAcentral lists this transfer RNA (84 nucleotides) under Gemmatimonadota bacterium. RNAcentral's name for it is "Gemmatimonadetes bacterium (marine metagenome) tRNA-Ser". It matches the Rfam family "tRNA". Rfam says of the family: Transfer RNA (tRNA) molecules are approximately 80 nucleotides in length. Their secondary structure includes four short double-helical elements and three loops (D, anti-codon, and T loops). Further hydrogen bonds mediate the characteristic L-shaped molecular structure. tRNAs have two regions of fundamental functional importance: the anti-codon, which is responsible for specific mRNA codon recognition, and the 3' end, to which the tRNAs corresponding amino acid is attached (by aminoacyl-tRNA synthetases). tRNAs cope with the degeneracy of the genetic code in two manners: having more than one tRNA (with a specific anti-codon) for a particular amino acid; and 'wobble' base-pairing, i.e. permitting non-standard base-pairing at the 3rd anti-codon position. The record is from RNAcentral. Lineage: Bacteria; Pseudomonadati; Gemmatimonadota. RNAcentral also lists the same sequence under 1 other name.